This 548-nucleotide ribosomal RNA is filed under the name uncultured bacterium. Its description in RNAcentral is "bacterial SSU rRNA". It matches the Rfam family "Bacterial small subunit ribosomal RNA", at positions 355 to 895 of the family's 1533-position model. The record is from RNAcentral.
UAGGGAAUCUUCCACAAUGGGCGAAAGCCUGAUGGAGCAACGCCGCGUGUGUGAUGAAGGCUUUAGGGUCGUAAAGCACUGUUGUAUGGGAAGAAAUGCUAGAAUAGGGAAUGAUUCUAGUUCGACGGUACCAUACCAGAAAGGGACGGCUAAAUACGUGCCAGCAGCCGCGGUAAUACGUAUGUCCCGAGCGUUAUCCGGAUUUAUUGGGCGUAAAGCGAGCGCAGACGGUUGAUUAAGUCUGAUGUGAAAGCCCGGAGCUCAACUCCGGAAUGGCAUUGGAAACUGGUUAACUUGAGUGUUGUAGAGGUAAGUGGAACUCCAUGUGUAGCGGUGGAAUGCGUAGAUAUAUGGAAGAACACCAGUGGCGAAGGCGGCUUACUGGACAACAACUGACGUUGAGGCUCGAAAGUGUGGGUAGCAAACAGGAUUAGAUACCCUGGUAGUCCACACCGUNNCGAUGAAUACUAGGUGUUAGGAGGUUUCCGCCUCUUAGUGCCGAAGCUAACGCAUUAAGUAUUCCGCCUGGGGAGUACGACCGCAAGGUU